GGGCGCGCCGGAGCCCGAGCCUGGGGCUGGCGCGAGGGCGCGGGGAGGUCCGGCCGGCGCGGACCGCGCAGCCUGGCUACUCUAGAUGCAAACUUCAUUGUUCAGAGUGGACCUGCAUAACCACACUGUCUUUCUUAAAGUGUCCUUGAAUGAGAGAAGCAGAGAGUUGAGGAACAGGAGGAGGAAGAAAAGAGGAAGAGGA
Molecule: long non-coding RNA, 202 nt
Organism: Dipodomys spectabilis (banner-tailed kangaroo rat)
Lineage: Eukaryota; Metazoa; Chordata; Mammalia; Rodentia; Heteromyidae
Exons: 3
Source: RefSeq, a predicted model, not a curated record